AGCACCCCGGGAGUGGCGGAGCCCCGGAGCCCCAGGGCUGGAUCCACUUUAUCUGAGACUCCUGCGGCCGACGGCGCAAAAAGCAAAGGCACCCAGGGGCCGGGGGAGCCCGAAGAUUUGGCUGGGAAGAACGAAAGAAACCGAAAUUGGCUGGGAGCUGUCCAAGAGAGUCAAAAGGGGUGGAGAACCCACUUCCUUUUCUCCAAGACCAUGGUUGAUCCACCUUCCUCCCUCAGGCUCCUUCUUGACAGUCUUCUAGAAAGGAGAAGAGGGAAAAGAAGCAGUUCCUGAUGCACAUGAACAACUGCUCCCAGCCUUAGUCCUUUGAAGGAAGAUGGCCGAAAGAGAGGAACUCCAAGUCACUUCUCAAAGAAAUGCUGGCUUAAACAUCAUCCUUGUCUAAUGAAGAAAACAAAGAAUUUCAUGUAUCUUGUGGAACACCUUCAGGUCAAAGUACCAGCAGAGUGAAGAAAGAAACUGCUAGAAGCCACAAAGCAAUACGCUUUUUAGUCAUCAAUGAAGAGCCCA
This 528-nucleotide long non-coding RNA is filed under the name Lynx canadensis (Canada lynx). Its description in RNAcentral is "lncRNA (ENSLCNG00005017690.1)". The record is from RNAcentral. Lineage: Eukaryota; Metazoa; Chordata; Mammalia; Carnivora; Felidae.